AAGGGAAGGGAGGCUUUAGCUUGAUCUGUAAUGUUUGGAUUUUGUACCAACAAUGUAUCCAUGUACUCUGUGUAAUUAAAAAUAAGAGCUUUUGGAGUCUCUUGUGGUGCAGCCAGUGAAGGAUCUAGCAUUGUCACUUCUGUGGCUCAGGUAGCUGCUGUGACGUGGGUUUGAUCCCUGGCCUGGGAAUUUCCACAUGCUACUGGCAUGGCCAAAAAUAAAAAAUAAAACACAUGUGAAAAUUAAAAUAUUGAAUGAAUGCAUUAAAAUAAUUUAAUGAAUAGAUAAUACAGAUUUAAAGAGUGUAGCAUUUAAAAAAAAUAAGAAUUUCCAAAAGAUUUAAAAAAUAAAAAGUAAUCAAUCCUAGGUACUUUCUUGUGAAAAGGUAGGGAAAGACUUGUAGGAUUUACUAAGGCCAUGUAAAUGGGCUGAGUUUGAAGCUGAGGAUGAGCAUAAUAAGCUUGGGAUGAAGCAAGUGAAAUUUGACAUAUAGGCGCAGCUGUGACUCUGCAUUAUUUAUUCUUCAUACAGGUGAUUUCUCUGGCUUCCCUGAAUAUCUGUUUACCAGCCUAAAGAAUUUAUGAUUGAAACUCAAGUAUUAAUCAAAGGCACAUGAGGAAAGAGAUGAAACAUACAAUCCAAGUUCUGCCAUGGAUAUGCCUUUUUAAUUAGAGAAACAGUAUGAAAAUCUGAUAUUUAUGACUGUCUCAUACUUUCAAAGCUGGUUUCAGUUCCAUGUAUUUUAAGUUGUAUGUAAAUAAAUUUCAUUUUCUAAGAAUCCUUGCUUUAACCAGUAUGGCUUUUUAAUUAAUUUUUUCAUUUUUUUGGGGGGGCUAUUUUAGGGCCACACCCAUGGCAUAGUCAGGUUCCUAGGCUAGGGGUCAAAUCAGAGCUACAGCUGCUGGGAUCCAAGCCACCUCUGCGACCUACACCACAGCCCACCGCAACGCCAGAUCCCCAACACAGUGAGCAAGGCCAGGGAUUGAACCUGAAUCUUCACGGAUCCUAACUGGGUUUGUUAAUCACUCAGCCAUAAAGUGAACUCUGUUUUUCAUUUCUUGAUGCCUCUGUUUUUUGAGGUACAUGAAAGGUUAGAAAUAACUUAGAGUUCUCUUAUGGCAAAGUGGGUUUAGAAUACGGCAUUGUCAUUGAAGUGGCCCAGGAAAUUUCAUGUGUUGUGGGCCCAGCCAAAAAAAAGAAAAGAAAUAAUUUUAAUAAGCCUGUAAUUAUAAAGAUACUGAACAAAAAUAAUGUUUCACUUAUAAAUCACCAGUGUUUGAGGAUUCCAAACUCCUGUCUCAUUGAUGAAUACCUACAAUGGUUUAUUUUAAAUAGACUAUGUCCUGUAACAUUUUUAUUUCCAUUUCAUGACUCAGCUUCUCCCUGACAAUUAAAGGUAUCCUUAAAGAUGGAUUCAAUGGCCAGAAUGAGGUUAUCUUCUCUCUCAGACAAUUUUUCUUUGGUUACACCCACAGCAUAAAGAAGUUCCCAGGACAGGCAUCGAACUUUGCCACAGCAGUGACUUGAGAAAUGACAGUGACAACGUCAGAUCCUUAACCCGCUGUCACCAUGGAACUCUUCUCAGACUAUUUUUAUUGGUGGUAGCCUUUUGUUGUAUCUGAUGCCCUUGUGAUUUCCAUGGCACUUACAAUGAUACAGUGUACAUACAACAGAUGAUGAUUUAACACAAAAGAAGUUUAUUAAGGACUAUUGGGUGGCUCAUGGAAUCUCUGUGGCUAGAAAACCAGUAUUGGGAAAUGGCAGGAAGAAACUAGUCUAAUGAGGAAGACCACUGCUACCUCAGCUGCUGGUCCAUAGUGUAUGCUGUCGGUUAGAAUACCACCAUUACUGCCACUGGGUAUGAGACACUUCCUCUGUCCUUGUCUUCCUGUUUCCAUCACUAGCUCUUGAUUCAAGACCCUGGAUAAAUAAGAACACUUGGCAAAUCAUAUCUGGAGCACUUGGUAACAGCUGCCAGAAGAAGUGGCGAAGUAGUUAUCUUGCAUUUUCUGAGUCUAGAGUAGAAGGAAAAGCUCUUCUUCUUACCAAGAUCAAGAAAGUGGAGAAUUGUAAAUAUAGGAGGGAAGUUCAAAGGCCAAGGAGUAUCAAAAACCUAAAAAAUGUUUGCCACAGGGAUUAAAGUGGAACUUUUUUACAUUUAUUGACCUUGAAAGGUUCAUAAACACUGGCUCUGUGAAUAUUGGGUUUUAAAUGCUUACUUGGGUGUAUUAGUUAUCAAUUGCUGCGUAACAAAUCGCAUCCCCAAACCUAGCAGUUUAAAACAAAAAGAGGCAUUUAUUAUUUCAAAUCGUUUCUGUGAGUCAAAUUCAGGAUCAGCUUAGCUAGUUUUGGCUUAGGGUCUCUUAUGAGCUUGUAAUCAAGACGUCAGCUGGGACUACAGUUAUCUGAAGGCUUGACUGGAGCUAAAGGAUCCAUUUCUAAAAAGGUUCCCUUACAUGCUAAAAAUUGAUGCCUGGGGUUGAUAGGAAGCCUCUGUUCCCCCCCCCCCCAAAGAGAUCUCUCUAUAGGGCUAUUUGAGAGUCCUCAUUGCUGAUUUAAGAGAUAGCAAAGCAGAAGCUGCAAUGUCUUCUAUGACAUUUCUGCACAAUAUUCUACUGGCUACACAGGUCAGUUCUAUUCAGUAUAGGAAAGGGUGACACUGGGACAUGAACACCAGGAGUAGGGGAUCAUUGGUGACUGGCAAUCCCACUAAGUGAAAUAGAAAUUUGAGAAUUAUCUGGUUAAUUUCAUAAUCAAAGUGGAAAGUCAAAUAGAUUCACUAGCCAUAUAACUCUGAGCUACGUAGGCAGAAAUUUGGAAUGAAGUUCUCAUAUUUACAUCAUUUGAAGGCCAAAAACUUUGCUGAAUCUACAAAGUUAUAAUGAUCAAACAAAGCCCAGAAAUUGAAAGUGUCUCACAAAAUAGAUUCAAGAAUUUUUUUCAUUUGAAGCCAGUUUGGAAUUUCUUCAUCAAAAGAUACUUCCUGUUACUCUUCCAAAGCUGUCAGAAUAAAAUGAGAAAUUAGAAAAGUAAUGGGAUUUUUUUCUUCUUGGUGCAUUAUUUGUUUGGAAUUCUAUCUUACUGGAAACUUUUAAAAUUAUUUUAAAAUAUUAGAUUAUGUUCACCUAAUAUUAUGAGCAGUCAGGCAGUUUUGGACAUGGAUGAUAAAAGAUAACGACCAUCAUUUUUCAUGCUAGCCGAAGUCCUAGCCUUUUUCAUGUUGACCUCUCCUGAACUUGAUUCACUCUCUUUUUACCCUUUUGUUCUCAUGAGAUCACUUGAGAAAAGGGGAGAAUUUUGACAAAUUUUUCCUCCUUUCGCCCCAAGUGAAAUUAUUUGUAUAUAUGUUUCAGGGUUUACAUAAGCAACACUACAU
This 3376-nucleotide long non-coding RNA is filed under the name Sus scrofa (pig). RNAcentral's name for it is "lncRNA (ENSSSCG00000057264.1)". Lineage: Eukaryota; Metazoa; Chordata; Mammalia; Artiodactyla; Suidae. The record is from RNAcentral.